CCUACGGGAGGCAGCAGUGGGGAAUAUUGCACAAUGGGGGAAACCCUGAUGCAGCGACGCCGCGUGCGUGAAGAAGUAUUUCUGUACGUAAAGCUCCAUCAGCAGGGAAGAAAAUGCAGGUACCUGUGUCAGAAGCCCCGGCUAACUACGUGCCAGCAGCCGCGGUAAUACGUCGGGGGCAAGCGUUAUCCGGAUUUACUGGGUGUAAAGGGAGCGUAGACGGUGGGCCAAGUCUGGAGUGAAAUGCCGCAGCUUAACUGCGGAACUGCUUUGGAAACUGGCGAACUAGAGUGCGGGAGGGGUAAGCGGAAUGUCUAGUGUAGCGGUGAAAUGCGUAGAUAUUAGGAGGAACACCGAUGGCGAAGGCAGCUUACUAGACCGUAACUGACGUUGAGGCUCGAAAGCGUGGGGAGCAAACAGGAUUAGAUACCCUUGUAGUC
Molecule: ribosomal RNA, 440 nt
Filed under: uncultured bacterium
Lineage: Bacteria
Description: partial 16S ribosomal RNA
Rfam family: Bacterial small subunit ribosomal RNA
Source: RNAcentral